Long non-coding RNA from Poecilia latipinna (sailfin molly), 711 nucleotides. RefSeq lists it as uncharacterized. The record is from RefSeq and is a predicted model, not a curated record. The transcript is spliced from 2 exons. NCBI's taxonomy places the organism in Eukaryota, Metazoa, Chordata, Actinopteri, Cyprinodontiformes, Poeciliidae.
CAGUUUUUGUUAAUAUCUCGAAAAGAAAUGUUUUGCCUGUUGAGAUUAGCCAUUUUGGUUUGCUCUAAGUUUAUAAACAAAAAUUCAACUCAAAGAGGAAAUUAAAUCUUGUAACUGAAACCAUUCUUUGUGAACGAUUACUUAAUCCCACACACAAUCUCUUUGCUCUUUGUCUUUCACAGAUAUCCUGAGGCGUUGCAGUUCAAGUGGGAUUGUUCAAUACAAUUGGGUGUUUCUUCUUAUUUUGUUAGUUAUCAGUUUAACCCAUUAACUGAUCUCCUGCUCUCUGUUUAGUUCAUGUGUUUAAUGUGUAACAGAAAAUCUGGAAACUGGUGGAGAGAAGUAGAGCCGAUUGGGAAAUGACAUGCUGGCGUGACCUGAGGAGUUGGCUCACCCAAGGUAAAGGUGCUUCACAGAAAGAAAACAAAACAAUCUACAGAAUCACUCCAGGGGCCUGUACUAUCAGGAGGGAUCAGUGGCUUAUCAAGCUAACUUGUACUGAUACAGACAAGCAAGCAUUCUGCAUAUGUCUUUGUGGAUUGAGAACAAUUGUUUAGGAUUUGAAUUGUUUGCUCAGACGCUCCAGAACAGGCUAGCUUUCAAGAAAAGAGGUCAAGACAGAUAAAUAAUAUAGUUUCUUUACCAUCCAUAUCCUCAGAAAAAGGAAUAAAUGGAAAAAAAAAAAAAAAAAAAAAAAAAGCAGGGAAUUCA